Molecule: long non-coding RNA, 727 nt
Organism: Thunnus maccoyii (southern bluefin tuna)
Lineage: Eukaryota; Metazoa; Chordata; Actinopteri; Scombriformes; Scombridae
Exons: 3
Source: RefSeq, a predicted model, not a curated record
UUCAGUUUGGAUAUUCUGAAUUAUUCGGAACGUAGCAUUUUCCGAUUAAGACAUGUGAUAUGCCGAUAUUAUUCAGGUUUUAGGAGCAUUCUUUGGACAUGCAUACAGCGCAUUCGGAAUAUGCGUCUCAAUCGGGGUUUUUACCGCAGUAUGGGACACACCGCCUCUUGUGGUGAGCUCUGUUUGUUGUAAACAAACCAACCGGCCAACAGUUUGCAAGGCUGGGAUAGAGAUGCACGACGGGCUGGUUGUGUAACGCACCCUUGCACAGUCAAAACGACAUGCUGGAGCAGGAAGGCAAACGAAGAAGAGGAACGAGAGGAGAGUUCAGGGUGGGCUAAAAAAAACAGAGCGUGCCCUCUAUUAUCCUGAGUGACGGGGACGACUCGGUGUGAUGCACCAAAAACACUCAGCAGUGCAGUAAACAUCAUGGAACAACCUAGAGGUGGCUCAAUCAAUCACACAUCAACUACAUCAUCGCCCCACAAGCUUAUUCACAAACCCUUCAGUGGCGCCUUAGAUAUCACGUCACUCAUUAACAAACAACGACAGCAGGAACAGAAGGAGACUAAUCGUACGGCAGACUGACAGCGAGGCAGACAGAUGAUACGAGGCUGAGAGCUGACGUGACAGACUGACAGCCCUCGCAGGUAAUGCAGCGGUAGUGGUAACCUGUGGCCUUGUCACCACACACCACACAUGGCUCAUCCUUCUCGAGGUAGCUGGG